This 268-nucleotide ribosomal RNA is filed under the name uncultured prokaryote. Its description in RNAcentral is "partial 16S ribosomal RNA". It matches the Rfam family "Bacterial small subunit ribosomal RNA", at positions 526 to 792 of the family's 1533-position model. The record is from RNAcentral.
CGUAGGGUGCGAGCGUUGUCCGGAAUUACUGGGCGUAAAGAGCUCGUAGGUGGUUUGUCGCGUCGUCUGUGAAAUUCCGGGGCUUAACUCCGGGCGUGCAGGCGAUACGGGCAUAACUUGAGUACUGUAGGGGAGACUGGAAUUCCUGGUGUAGCGGUGGAAUGCGCAGAUAUCAGGAGGAACACCGGUGGCGAAGGCGGGUCUCUGGGCAGUAACUGACGCUGAGGAGCGAAAGCAUGGGUAGCGAACAGGAUUAGAUACCCUGGUA